CACGUCAGCGCGAUUUGCUGACAUGGCAACAAACCGCGCCCUCUAGGACGCGAUUUGCUGCCACGUCAAUAAAUCGCGCUGACGUGG
Non-coding RNA from Gossypium hirsutum (cotton), 87 nucleotides. The record is from Rfam. NCBI's taxonomy places the organism in Eukaryota, Viridiplantae, Streptophyta, Magnoliopsida, Malvales, Malvaceae.